RNAcentral lists this ribosomal RNA (800 nucleotides) under uncultured Propionibacterium sp. RNAcentral describes it as "bacterial SSU rRNA". It matches the Rfam family "Bacterial small subunit ribosomal RNA", at positions 16 to 835 of the family's 1533-position model. The record is from RNAcentral. Lineage: Bacteria; Bacillati; Actinomycetota; Actinomycetes; Propionibacteriales; Propionibacteriaceae.
AUCCUGGCUCAGGACGAACGCUGGCGGCGUGCUUAACACAUGCAAGUCGAACGGAACCCUGCUUUUGUGGGGUCGAGUGGCGAACGGGUGAGUAACACGUGAGUAACCUGCCCUUGACUUUGGGAUAACUUCAGGAAACUGGGGCUAAUACCGGAUAGGAGCUCCGCUGCAUGGUGGGGGUUGAAAGUUUCGGCGGUUGGGGAUGGACUCGCGGCUUAUCAGCUUGUUGGUGGGGUAGUGGCUUACCAAGGCUUUGACGGGUAGCCGGCCUGAGAGGGUGACCGGCCACAUUGGGACUGAGAUACGGCCCAGACUCCUACGGGAGGCAGCAGUGGGGAAUAUUGCACAAUGGGCGGAAGCCUGAUGCAGCAACGCCGCGUGCGGGAUGACGGCCUUCGGGUUGUAAACCGCUUUCGCCUGUGACGAAGCGUGAGUGACGGUAAUGGGUAAAGAAGCACCGGCUAACUACGUGCCAGCAGCCGCGGUGAUACGUAGGGUGCGAGCGUUGUCCGGAUUUAUUGGGCGUAAAGGGCUCGUAGGUGGUUGAUCGCGUCGGAAGUGUAAUCUUGGGGCUUAACCCUGAGCGUGCUUUCGAUACGGGUUGACUUGAGGAAGGUAGGGGAGAAUGGAAUUCCUGGUGGAGCGGUGGAAUGCGCAGAUAUCAGGAGGAACACCAGUGGCGAAGGCGGUUCUCUGGGCCUUUCCUGACGCUGAGGAGCGAAAGCGUGGGGAGCGAACAGGCUUAGAUACCCUGGUAGUCCACGCUGUAAACGGUGGGUACUAGGUGUGGGGUCAUUCCG